UACAGAGGUCUCAAGCGUUGUUCGGAUUCAUUGGGCGUAAAGGGUGUGUAGGUGGCGCGCUAAGUCGGGUGUGAAAUUUCGGAGCUUAACUCCGAAACUGCAUUCGAUACUGGCGUGCUUGAGGACUGGAGAGGAGACUGGAAUUUACGGUGUAGCAGUGAAAUGCGUAGAUAUCGUAAGGAAGACCAGUGGCGAAGGCGGGUCUCUGGACAGUUCCUGACACUGAGCCACGAAGGCCAGGGGAGCAAACGGG
RNAcentral lists this ribosomal RNA (253 nucleotides) under uncultured bacterium. RNAcentral's name for it is "partial 16S ribosomal RNA". It matches the Rfam family "Bacterial small subunit ribosomal RNA", at positions 524 to 776 of the family's 1533-position model. The record is from RNAcentral.